This 253-nucleotide unclassified non-coding RNA is filed under the name uncultured Chitinophagales bacterium. RNAcentral describes it as "contains 16S-23S intergenic spacer region". It matches the Rfam family "Bacterial small subunit ribosomal RNA", at positions 524 to 776 of the family's 1533-position model. Lineage: Bacteria; Pseudomonadati; Bacteroidota; Chitinophagia; Chitinophagales. The record is from RNAcentral.
UACGGAGGGUGCAAGCGUUAUCCGGAUUCACUGGGUUUAAAGGGUGUGUAGGCGGGCUGUUAAGUCAGUGGUGAAAUCUCCGGGCUCAACCCGGAAACUGCCGUUGAUACUAUCAGUCUUGAAUCUUGUUGAGGUAGGCGGAAUAUGUCAUGUAGCGGUGAAAUGCUUAGAUAUGACAUAGAACACCGAUUGCGAAGGCAGCUUACUAAACAAGCAUUGACGCUGAGGCACGAAAGCGUGGGGAUCAAACAGG